Non-coding RNA from Paramormyrops kingsleyae, 3336 nucleotides. The record is from RefSeq and is a predicted model, not a curated record. Lineage: Eukaryota; Metazoa; Chordata; Actinopteri; Osteoglossiformes; Mormyridae.
CACCGGUGGGUGAUGAUACGCACGGACGGAGGAGCGCAUGAAACACGCACCGCUUGGCAGCAAAAACAUGCCCAUGUACACUGCCGUCCCAACAUCGUCUCACCAUUUUAUACGUUAUGCUUACAUCUUUUUCUAUUUAUGGAUCCUUUCGCCCAUUUUGGAAUCAUAACGAUGCUCGAUUUACCAGUCAGCGAGCAUUUUUAGGUCUAAAAAGGCUUCUAGGGGAAAUGAGACUGAAAGGGGAUCUCUAAAAAAAAAAAAAGGUGUAAUUGGCGAUCGGGUUUUUUCUUGCCGCAAUCUGCUGUUCAUCCGCAUUUUUUCCGCAUUAUACGUUAAUAUUUCACGCACUUCAUACAAAUCCAGGGGACUAUGUGAACAUCAUGCUGGCGGUGAGGUGCCUAAUGUUUGCUGCAGUGGGUGCAAGAUUUGCCAUGACAGGCUGGACCGGAUCCCUGUUACGGGAUGCGGGUUUGUGGGACUGGGCAGCGCCAGCGGACAGGGGGGAGCGCACCGCGGCAUCGAGGGAAGUCACCAAACCGAGACGUCUUGUGCAUCAGAUCGACGCGGAGGGGGAGAUGGUUCAUAGCCAUCUGGACACUAGGAUUAAGAAUCACUCUGACGGCGAGGCGCCCGUCCAUCUGGCCCAGAGCAGUUUCCUGGUGGAAGCCUUCAACAUCUCCUUCAUCCUGGACUUGGAGUUAAACCACCACCUACUGUCCUCUAACUACGUGGAACGACAUUUCGACAAGGACGGCAGGCCGAUGCAGACUGCGGGAGGGGAGCACUGCUAUUACCACGGGGGGCUGCGCGGCGUGCUGGGCUCCUGGGCCGCCCUCUCAACCUGCCACGGCCUCUGCGGCAUGUUCUCUGAUGGGAGGUUCUCCUACAGCAUCGAGCCGAUCCUCGGCAAGGGUGACAACUUGCAUGAGGUGCACAAGAUGCCAAACAUGGAAGUACCCCCCUCUUGUCCAGGCUGUGCCGAGAACAGCAGUGAUGUCCAGGAUGACCUCCCCUGGUGGAGACCAUCUCUUAGGCGUUCCAAAAGACAAGUACGUCGCCCACAGUACACAGUUCUGAGCGAAACCAAAUACAUUGAGCUGCUUGUGGUCAACGAUCAUGACUUGUUUUUGCAGCUCCGUGGCUCGACCUCCCAGACCAGGAACUUUGCCAAGGCUGUAGUGAACAUGGCGGACGCGAUCUACAAGGAGCAGCUGAACACCCGCAUAGUGCUCGUCGCCAUGGAAACGUGGUCCUCUGGGAACAUGGUUUCGGUGGGAGCGGAUCCUCUGAUGACCCUGCGCGACUUCAUGAAGUACAGAAAGGAGAACAUCAAGGAGCAGAGCGAUGCGGCUCACCUCUUCUCGGGGAGCACUUUCCAGAGCAGCCGCAGUGGCACAGCCUACAUGGGCGGGGUUUGCUCCCCCACUCGAGGAGGGGGGGUCAACGAGCACGGGAACGUCGGGCCCAUGGCAAUCACUCUGUGCCAGAGCCUCGGCCAGAACAUCGGCAUGAUGUGGAACGUGGAUCGCAUCGCUGCAGGAGACUGCAGAUGUCCGGACACGUGGCUGGGAUGCAUCAUGGAGGACACAGGGUUUUACACCCCCAGGAAGUUUUCCCGCUGCAGUGUGGAGGAGUACAUACGUUUCCUGCAAAGGGGUGGGGGGAGCUGCCUCUUCAACAAGCCCGUAAAGCUGUUGGACCCCCCUGAGUGUGGGAACGGCUUUGUGGAAACCGGAGAAGAAUGCGACUGCGGUUCUCAGGUGGAGUGCGCGAGGAAUGGAGGGGCGUGCUGUAAGAAGUGCACUCUUUCGCACGAUGCCAUGUGCAGCAACGGACUUUGCUGCCGGAGCUGCAGGUACGAGUCGCGAGGGGUGGUGUGCCGGGAGCCGGUGAACGACUGCGACAUUCCUGAGACGUGCACCGGGGACUCCAGUCAGUGCCCGCACAAUGUCCACAAGCUGGACGGCUACCUGUGCGAUGGGGGCCAGGGCCGGUGUUAUGAGGGCCGGUGUCGCACCCGGGACGGCCAGUGCCAGGGAAUCUGGGGCCACGUUUCGGCGGACCGGUUCUGCUACGAGAAGCUGAACGCCGAGGGCACGGAGAAGGGAAACUGUGGGCGCGAUGCUGGUGGGCAGAGCUGGCUGCAGUGUCACAAGCAGGACGUGCUCUGUGGGUUCCUGCUUUGCUCCAACAUGACCGCGAAGCCCUCGUUCGGAGUCCUCCAGGGCGAGGUGACCAGCCUGACCAUCUACCACCAGAACAAGUACCUGGAGUGCCGUGGGGGCCACGCCCUAUUGGACGACGGCUCCGACCUGGGUUACGUGGAAGACGGCACCCCGUGUGGUCCCAACAUGAUGUGCCUGGAUCGCCGCUGCCUCCCAGUGGUCGCCUUCAACCUCAGCACCUGCCCGGGCUCGUUGGCCGCCCGUACCUGUUCUGACCAUGGGAUCUGUAGUAACGAGGUGAAGUGCAUCUGCGACCGGGACUUUACAGGCAAAGAUUGCAGCGUGUUCGACCCUAUUCCUGAUGCCACACCCCCGGGCACCCCAGAGAAGAAGGUCCGGCAGUGACACAGGGUAUUUUGGCUUUUGCUAUCUGCAAGGCUGAUGCCCGCCCCUGAGCAGGAGGGUGCCCAGCCGACAGAGAGGGGGCGCCGCGUGCCGAAAAACAUUCGGAGAGGAAGGUCUGGUGGGGGAUAAGAUGUAAGUCGGUCUGCACUCUGUCCUUUUCACGUAGAAGAAGAAAAAAAGAUGUCUUCCACUCAUUCCAGAACUAUGACCACGGCGACCCUUCAUCCAUCUCCUCUCUCCGCUCUUUACUUGUCUCUUUAUCCCUUUGGGCCCUCAGGGGUCCUUGCAAGCUGUUCCACGCAAGUUCCAGCCAAACUCCACUGCCCUCCCUCCCAGGGGUAACGUCAUGCCUCUGAGAAAUCUCUCCACACUUAGUAGUGUCUUUCAGCAGUGGUUUCCCCUUUUGCCCUAAACAGUGAGCCCCCUGUCCACCCGGAGGACUUGUAGCACCUGUUUUCAUUUUGUUAUGGAGGACUAUUGACUGGAGCCCCAACUGUAUUUUGACUGGGUUCCCUUGAAGCACCAAGACACUCAGUGACAUGAGCUAAACCUGCCAAGUUAGAUAUCAGGAAGUACUGGGAAAGCUGUGUGGCCAUGUCUUUCUUCUCAGUGGCUUUAUAGACUUGCAUACGCCAUGUUACCUGCUGGAGACAGGAAGCAGCCUCUGGAUGUUGUACCCUCAGUAUGAUGUCAUAUCCUUCCACCAAGACAGAGGGACACAAAAUUGCGUGGUCUUGUUUCAGAUGAGGAAGGCAAAACGGGAUAU